Molecule: long non-coding RNA, 1109 nt
Organism: Tachysurus fulvidraco (yellow catfish)
Lineage: Eukaryota; Metazoa; Chordata; Actinopteri; Siluriformes; Bagridae
Exons: 3
Source: RefSeq, a predicted model, not a curated record
UGUGUGUGUGUGUGUAUAUAUAUAUAUAUAUAUAUGAGCUGCUGUAGAUAACAUGACUUUGAUAAGUUGCUAAUGCUCUUUAAAUCAAAUGUCAGACAGCAAGUGAUGUAUCCAUGUAUUUUCUGUGUUGCUUAUUCUACACAGAGUUACAGAGAGGUCGGGGUCCUAUCUCGCACGAGACGGGGAGACCCUGGAUAGAGUGUCAGUCCAUCACAGGGCAAAUUCACACACUGACAAUCCCAUUCACACACAAUUUAGAGAUGCCAAUCAGCCUACAAUGCUUAUCACUGGACUGGAGAAGGAAAUCGGAGUACCUAGCUGAAAAAAUAAAACCCCAAAGCACAUGGAGAAAAUGUAAACUCCACACAUGGGGCAGAGACAGGAAUUAAACCCCCAACCCUGAGGUGCUGCAAUGGUGCAGUGGGUGAAGGAAACCUAACAGCUUGAGGGUCCUUUUAAUAAUCACAUGUUCUCGCUGUGUUCAUAUUGCUUUCCAAUAUAAUAAAUACUUUAACCUGCAUAAAUGGUGGGCCUGAUCUCUAACAUCGACGAGACAGUCUACCUACAGGAGACUAAAAACCUGGAGAGAUGGUGAAAGGAGAACAAUCUUCUCCUGAAUGUCAGCAAGACUAAAGAGUUGAUAGUGGACUUCAGCACAAAGCAGGAGCGGUCAUACCAACCGCUAAACAUCAAUGGGACCCCAGUAGAGAGAGUGGAGUUUCCGGUACCUACGUGUUCAGAUCACACAGGACCUGUCUUGGUCCUGUCACAUCAACACCCUGGUGAAGAAGGCCCGGCAGCUUCUGUACCACCUGAGACACUUAAGGGACUUCAAACUACCCUCUCAGGUGCUAAAGACUACACCUGCACCAUUGAGAGCGUCCUGACAAGUAGCAUCACUUCCUGGUUCGGGAACAGCAUCAUGCAGGACAGGCGAGUCCUCCAGAGGGUGGUGCGGUCAUCUGAACAUACCAUCCACACCGAGCUCCUUGACAUGCAGGGCACAUACACACUCUCAUUCACUCACACACUACGGACAAUUUUCCAGAGAUGCCAAUCAACCUACCAUGCAUGUCUUUGGAACAGGGGAGGAAACCAGAUUACCCAUA